UAGGGAAUCUUCGGCAAUGGACGAAAGUCUGACCGAGCAACGCCGCGUGAGUGAAGAAGGUUUUCGGAUCGUAAAACUCUGUUGUUAGAGAAGAACAAGGACGUUAGUAACUGAACGUCCCCUGACGGUAUCUAACCAGAAAGCCACGGCUAACUACGUGCCAGCAGCCGCGGUAAUACGUAGGUGGCAAGCGUUGUCCGGAUUUAUUGGGCGUAAAGCGAGCGCAGGCGGUUUCUUAAGUCUGAUGUGAAAGCCCCCGGCUCAACCGGGGAGGGUCAUUGGAAACUGGGAGACUUGAGUGCAGAAGAGGGGAGUGGAAUUCCAUGUGUAGCGGUGAAAUGCGUAGAUAUAUGGAGGAACACCAGUGGCGGAGGCGGCUCUCUGGUCUGUAACUGACGCUGAGGCUCGAAAGCGUGGGGAGCAAACAGG
This 429-nucleotide ribosomal RNA is filed under the name Gemmatimonadota bacterium. RNAcentral's name for it is "Gemmatimonadetes bacterium partial 16S ribosomal RNA". It matches the Rfam family "Bacterial small subunit ribosomal RNA", at positions 355 to 776 of the family's 1533-position model. Lineage: Bacteria; Pseudomonadati; Gemmatimonadota. The record is from RNAcentral.